Molecule: ribosomal RNA, 435 nt
Filed under: Triticum aestivum (bread wheat)
Lineage: Eukaryota; Viridiplantae; Streptophyta; Magnoliopsida; Poales; Poaceae
Description: partial small subunit ribosomal RNA
Source: RNAcentral
AUGCGAAAACAGGACACAAAUCAUACUAGGAGGAAGAACCAUCAAGUUCCAAUGCGCUUAUUUGGUCAAGAACCUCCGCUGCCUGGUGAUGAUUCAUGGCUUCCACCACCUGGCCGGGACACCGUUGCCAGUUUGGUGGUCUCAUCAAUCGCUGGCUUCUUCAGAGCUUCGUUCUCUCUCUUCAGCAACAUGUUUUCUUCUUUAAGUACCCUAAUCUCUUCACGCAGCCUAUCAUACGAAGGCAAUAGGCUAGGAGGUAUGGAAGUUAAUGGCUCAGUUCUUGCUAUCCUGUAUGUGAGAAGGAAGCACAUGCAUAUAGUGUUUUUGUCAGACCAUAUAGGAAAAAGCAAGGAUUGUGUUUUUGCAUGUAUGAAUAGCAAUGUAGGGAUACCAAACUGGAAAAAGCAAGGAUUGUGUUUUUGCAAGUAUGAGUAG